This 253-nucleotide ribosomal RNA is filed under the name uncultured bacterium. Its description in RNAcentral is "partial 16S ribosomal RNA". It matches the Rfam family "Bacterial small subunit ribosomal RNA", at positions 524 to 776 of the family's 1533-position model. The record is from RNAcentral.
UACGUAGGUGGCAAGCGUUAUCCGGAAUUAUUGGGCGUAAAGCGCGCGCAGGCGGUUUCUUAAGUCUGAUGUGAAAGCCCACGGCUCAACCGUGGAGGGUCAUUGGAAACUGGGGAACUUGAGUGCAGAAGAGAAAAGCGGAAUUCCACGUGUAGCGGUGAAAUGCGUAGAGAUGUGGAGGAACACCAGUGGCGAAGGCGACUCUUUGGCCUGUAACUGACGCUGAGGCGCGAAAGCGUGGGGAGCAAACAGG